RNAcentral lists this small RNA (2076 nucleotides) under Pongo abelii (Sumatran orangutan). RNAcentral's name for it is "retained intron". The record is from RNAcentral. Lineage: Eukaryota; Metazoa; Chordata; Mammalia; Primates; Hominidae.
UCUCGGCUGCCGCUGCUGCCGUUGGCUCUUAUUCUCCUCCUCCUCCUCCUCUCUCCUCCUCUCUGCUUCUCUCUGCUCCUCUCUCCUCCUCUCUCCUCCUCCUCCUCCUCCACCUCCUCCUCCUUCUCCCCCUCUUUCUCCCCCUCUUUCUCUCUUCUUUCUCCCCCGUCCCCCCGCCCCUCCCCCCAGGCCUGAUGAGCAGGUCUCGAGCCUCCAUCCAUCGGGGGAGCAUCCCCGCGAUGUCCUAUGCCCCCUUCAGAGAUGUACGGGGACCCUCUAUGCACCGAACCCAAUACGUUCAUUCCCCGUAUGAUCGUCCUGGUUGGAACCCUCGGUUCUGCAUCAUCUCGGGGAACCAGCUGCUCAUGCUGGAUGAGGACGAGAUACACCCCCUACUGAUCCGGGACCGGAGGAGCGAGUCCAGUCGCAACAAACUGCUGAGACGCACAGUCUCCGUGCCGGUGGAGGGGCGGCCCCACGGCGAGCAUGAAUACCACUUGGGUCGCUCGAGGAGGAAGAGUGUCCCAGGGGGAAAGCAGUACAGCAUGGAGGGUGCCCCUGCUGCGCCCUUCCGGCCCUCGCAAGGCUUCCUGAGCCGACGGCUAAAAAGCUCCAUCAAACGAACGAAGUCACAACCCAAACUUGACCGGACUAGCAGCUUUCGCCAGAUCCUGCCUCGCUUCCGAAGUGCUGACCAUGACCGGGCCCGGCUGAUGCAAAGCUUUAAGGAGUCGCACUCUCAUGAGUCCUUGCUGAGUCCUAGCAGUGCAGCUGAGGCAUUGGAGCUCAACUUGGAUGAAGAUUCCAUUAUCAAGCCAGUGCACAGCUCCAUCCUGGGCCAGGAGUUUUGUUUUGAGGUAACAACUUCAUCAGGAACAAAAUGCUUUGCCUGUCGGUCUGCGGCCGAAAGAGACAAAUGGAUUGAGAAUCUGCAGCGGGCAGUAAAGCCCAACAAGGACAACAGUCGCCGGGUAGACAAUGUGCUAAAGCUGUGGAUCAUAGAGGCCCGGGAGCUGCCCCCCAAGAAGCGGUACUACUGUGAGCUCUGCCUGGAUGACAUGCUGUAUGCACGCACCACCUCCAAGCCCCGCUCUGCCUCUGGGGACACCGUCUUCUGGGGCGAGCACUUCGAGUUUAACAACCUGCCGGCUGUCCGUGCCCUGCGGCUGCAUCUGUACCGUGACUCAGACAAAAAGCGCAAGAAGGACAAGGCAGGCUAUGUCGGCCUGGUGACUGUGCCGGUGGCCACCCUGGCUGGGCGCCACUUCACAGAGCAGUGGUACCCUGUAACCCUGCCAACAGGCAGUGGGGGAUCUGGGGGCAUGGGCUCGGGAGGGGGAGGGGGCUCGGGGGGUGGCUCAGGGGGCAAGGGCAAAGGAGGUUGCCCGGCUGUGCGGCUGAAAGCACGUUACCAGACAAUGAGCAUCUUGCCCAUGGAGCUAUAUAAAGAGUUUGCAGAGUAUGUCACCAACCAUUAUCGGAUGCUGUGUGCAGUCUUGGAGCCCGCCCUGAAUGUCAAAGGCAAGGAGGAGGUUGCCAGUGCACUAGUUCACAUCCUGCAGAGUACAGGCAAGGCCAAGGACUUCCUUUCAGACAUGGCCAUGUCUGAGGUAGACCGGUUCAUGGAACGGGAGCACCUCAUAUUCCGCGAGAACACGCUCGCCACUAAAGCCAUAGAAGAGUAUAUGAGACUGAUUGGUCAGAAAUACCUCAAGGAUGCCAUUGGAGAGUUCAUCCGUGCUCUGUAUGAGUCUGAGGAAAACUGCGAGGUAGACCCUAUCAAGUGCACAGCAUCCAGUUUGGCAGAGCACCAGGCCAACCUGCGAAUGUGCUGUGAGUUGGCCCUGUGCAAAGUGGUCAACUCCCACUGGUGAGACUGGGAACGCUGGGCUGGGGGGCCAGGGUCGGGGGAAUUAUGUGUUCAUCUGUUCAUCUAUCUGUCCAUCCUCAAAGAGGACUGAGCACCAUUUAUGGGCAAAGCAUUGUUCUAGGCACUAUAGAGCAAACAGGUGAAAGAGGCCUGGUCCCUGCCCUCAGAGGGCCUCCACCAGAAUGAGUGGGGACAAAUUAGAAGAA